RNAcentral lists this ribosomal RNA (467 nucleotides) under uncultured bacterium. Its description in RNAcentral is "partial 16S ribosomal RNA". It matches the Rfam family "Bacterial small subunit ribosomal RNA", at positions 29 to 507 of the family's 1533-position model. The record is from RNAcentral.
ACGAACGCUGGCGGCGUGCUUAACACAUGCCAGUCGAACGGAAAGGCCCUGCUUUUGUGGGGUGCUCGAGUGGCGAACGGGUGAGUAACACGUGAGUAACCUGCCCUUGACUUUGGGAUAACUUCAGGAAACUGGGGCUAAUACCGGAUAGGAGCUCCUGCUGCAUGGUGGGGGUUGGAAAGUUUCGGCGGUUGGGGAUGGACUCGCGGCUUAUCAGCUUGUUGGUGGGGUAGUGGCUUACCAAGGCUUUGACGGGUAGCCGGCCUGAGAGGGUGACCGGCCACAUUGGGACUGAGAUACGGCCCAGACUCCUACGGGAGGCAGCAGUGGGGAAUAUUGCACAAUGGGCGGAAGCCUGAUGCAGCAACGCCGCGUGCGGGAUGACGGCCUUCGGGUUGUAAACCGCCUUCGCCUGUGACGAAGCGUGAGUGACGGUAAUGGGUAAAGAAGCACCGGCUAACUACGUG